GUAUUUUAACUGUGCUAAGGUAGCAUAAUCAUUUGUCUUUUAAUUGAGGGCUGGAAUGAAGGGUUGGACGAGGUAUUAGCUUUCUUUAAUUUAAUUUGAGGAAUUUAAUUUUUGAGUUAAAAAGCUUAAAUUUAUUUAUGGGACGAGAAGACCCUAUAGAUCUUUAUAGUUUUAUAUUUUAGUAAUUUGGGGAUUUAUGUAUUUUAAGUAAAUGAACUAUUUUGUUGGGGUGACUGUAGAAUUUUAAUAACUUCUAUUUUGUAUUUUCAUUAAUUAAUGUUUUUGUGAUCCAUAAUUUAUGAUUAGAAGAUUAAGUUACCUUAGGGAUAACAGCGUAAUUUCCUCGGAGAGUUCAUAUUGAUGAGGGAGUUUGCGACCUCGAUGUUGGAUUAAAAUAAGUUAU
RNAcentral lists this ribosomal RNA (403 nucleotides) under Triatoma costalimai. Its description in RNAcentral is "partial 16S ribosomal RNA". It matches the Rfam family "Bacterial large subunit ribosomal RNA", at positions 1936 to 2550 of the family's 2925-position model. Lineage: Eukaryota; Metazoa; Arthropoda; Insecta; Hemiptera; Reduviidae. The record is from RNAcentral.